GACAAACGCUGGCGGAAUGUAUUAGGCAUGCAAGUCGUACGAACCUUCGGGUUAGUGGCGAACGGGUGAGUAACACGUGGGUAACCUGCCUCGUAGUGGGGAAUAACUCGCCGAAAGGCGAGCUAAUACCGCAUAACACCCCCGGUGAGAAUCCGGGUGGUAAAAGCUCCGGCGCUACGAGAGGGGCCCGCGGCCGAUUAGCUAGUUGGUGGGGUAAUGGCCUACCAAGGCGACGAUCGGUAGCUGGUCUGAGAGGAUGGUCAGCCACACGGGGACUGAGAUACGGCCCCGACUCCUACGGGAGGCAGCAGCUAAGAAUCUUGCGCAAUGGGCGAAAGCCUGACGCAGCAAUUCCGCGUGGGGGACGAAGGCCCUCGGGUCGUAAACCCCUUUUGUGAGGGAAGAAGUUCUGACGGUACCUCACGAAUAAGACACGGCUAACUACGUG
RNAcentral lists this ribosomal RNA (448 nucleotides) under uncultured bacterium. RNAcentral describes it as "bacterial SSU rRNA". It matches the Rfam family "Bacterial small subunit ribosomal RNA", at positions 28 to 507 of the family's 1533-position model. The record is from RNAcentral.